Long non-coding RNA from Folsomia candida, 580 nucleotides. RefSeq lists it as uncharacterized. The transcript is spliced from 2 exons. The record is from RefSeq and is a predicted model, not a curated record. NCBI's taxonomy places the organism in Eukaryota, Metazoa, Arthropoda, Collembola, Entomobryomorpha, Isotomidae.
GUUGCAGGCAAUCACAACUUGCUCAUAAAUUGUCCAGGUGUCGAUUGGCAAAGUUGUUUCAUAACCAGAAUAACUAUUUUAUCUAUAAAAAUGAAAACGCCCUUAAUUCUCACAGUCCUCACGUGGACUUUGAUUUCAUUUGCCAUUUUUGAGGGUACAAGUGCUUCCCCUAUUCCAGCCGUGGGCGAAAGUGAUUUCCCUGCUGGCUGUUCUUGCGGUUCGUCUACGACUACUUCCGGUACUCCGAAAAGUGCUGCUGCCUCGAUAGUUGGAGGAGGCGAAGUAACCGAGGCUGGUGGAAUUGUCGGGGCGUUUAAUACUCUCUACAACGCGAUUUACGAGACAAUUUCCUUCAUUUAUCAAGCAGCAGAAGCAACCUGGGCUAAUCUUGGGACAUAAGUGUAAUACUACCAAAAUUAGAAGUAUACUUUUGUAAGUGGAAAAUUGGAACACAUCUCAAAAAUAUUCUGCUGUAUGAAAUUGGAGCGAAUAAGAAUUAUCCAAGGCAUUGUAACAACCUUCAAAAUAAGUUCAUUUCCUUCUCUUCUCUUUCCAUGAAUAAAAUAAUUUCAACCCCGGA